UACGUAGGGGGCUAGCGUUGUCCGGAAUCAUUGGGCGUAAAGCGCGCGUAGGCGGCCCGGUAAGUCCGCUGUAAAAGUCAAAGGCUCAACCUUUGAAUGUCAGUGGAUACUGCCGGGCUAGAGUCCGGAAGAGGCGAGUGGAACUCCUGGUGUAGCGGUGGAAUGCGCAGAUAUCAGGAGGAACACCAACGGCGAAGGCAGCUCGCUGGGACGGAACUGACGCUAAGGCGCGAAAGCGUGGGGAGCGAACAGG
RNAcentral lists this ribosomal RNA (253 nucleotides) under uncultured bacterium. RNAcentral describes it as "partial 16S ribosomal RNA". It matches the Rfam family "Bacterial small subunit ribosomal RNA", at positions 524 to 776 of the family's 1533-position model. The record is from RNAcentral.